UACCGCAGUAUCGCGCAAUCUUAUAAUGAAUAUCAUCGAGCGAGCAAUGCUUGCGAUUAACUGUGUAUUCUACAUUUUAAAAUAUCUGUAAAUGUAGUUAACAAAAUCAACUCGUUUCGUUAUUAAUUUAAUUUCGUCUCACCACAUAAGUACUUAACGCAGACGUUACUCGGUUAAAAAUUCACAUAUACUUCACAUCAGUGGAAAAUUGGAUACAGCGCAUGGCCAAGGGUACAUCUAUUAGGUUUGCACCAAUGUACAGAGAGAAGAUGUUAUAUUUAUCGUGAACUUUAUUUCGUAAAAUAAAAGACCAAACGUAUUUAUCCAUACAUUUUAUUGCAACUUAUAUUUAUAUUUGGGCAAAUUCUUCGAACGAAGAAAGACGAAAGAUCCUGAGUUCUCAUAUGGUUGCACUCGUUGUAUGCGAAACUGUCUCGCUAGUGAUUAUCAUAAGUUAUUUGCAAUAUCUCUGUAGCUGAUUUUUUGUUCUCCUAACUUUGUCUAUGAUAUUGUCUGUUCGUUUCUAUUAAACGACCAUUAUAAAAGUUUACAACUUUUUACAAAGAUCGUAAAAAGGAGUGAAUAUUUAGAAGAAAAUUAAAAGUCAGCAAUGAUCGAUAUCGACGAUGCGAUAAAUGUUCAAG
Bombus pascuorum is the source of this 644-nucleotide long non-coding RNA. RefSeq lists it as uncharacterized. Lineage: Eukaryota; Metazoa; Arthropoda; Insecta; Hymenoptera; Apidae. The record is from RefSeq and is a predicted model, not a curated record. The transcript has 3 exons.